AGAUUUUAACACGAAGUGAGUGGCGAACGGGUGAGUAACACGUGGGUAACCUGCCCAGAAGUAGGGGAUAACACCUGGAAACAGAUGCUAAUACCGUAUAACAGAGAAAACCGCAUGGUUUUCUUUUAAAAGAUGGCUCUGCUAUCACUUCUGGAUGGACCCGCGGCGUAUUAGCUAGUUGGUGAGGUAAAGGCUCACCAAGGCAGUGAUACGUAGCCGACCUGAGAGGGUAAUCGGCCACAUUGGGACUGAGACACGGCCCAGACUCCUACGGGAGGCAGCAGUAGGGAAUCUUCCACAAUGGACGCAAGUCUGAUGGAGCAACGCCGCGUGAGUGAAGAAGGGUUUCGGCUCGUAAAGCUCUGUUGUUAAAGAAGAACGUGGGUAAGAGUAACUGUUUACCCAGUGACGGUAUUUAACCAGAAAGCCACGGCUAACUACGUGCCAGCAGCCGCGGUAAUACGUAGGUGGCAAGCGUUAUCCGGAUUUAUUGGGCGUAAAGCGAGCGCAGGC
Molecule: ribosomal RNA, 513 nt
Filed under: Pediococcus pentosaceus
Lineage: Bacteria; Bacillati; Bacillota; Bacilli; Lactobacillales; Lactobacillaceae
Description: bacterial SSU rRNA
Rfam family: Bacterial small subunit ribosomal RNA
Source: RNAcentral